This is a long non-coding RNA of Lagenorhynchus albirostris (white-beaked dolphin), 1859 nucleotides long. RefSeq lists it as uncharacterized. NCBI's taxonomy places the organism in Eukaryota, Metazoa, Chordata, Mammalia, Artiodactyla, Delphinidae. The record is from RefSeq and is a predicted model, not a curated record. The transcript has 3 exons.
GGAAGGAAGGCAACUGGAUCACAGAGCAGAAGAGGAGAGGAAGAAAUCACACAUACGUGGUUCAAUCUCUCAUAUAAUAGAUGCUUAGCUUUUCCAAAGUCUGUUUUGGCUAUUCAUGGUGGAAGGCAACAGCAGAUAGAAAGAAACUGUUCUGUUAGUCAAGGAAAAGGCUGAGCGGAUGGUUUUCACCGAGCCUGGCCGUACCUCUCCAUCCUCCAGCUCCACGUCUAGGAAAUCGAAGUCUCUAAAGACCCGGAACUGCUGCUCACUGUUGGUGUCGUCCAUGUUCUCCUGGUCCCGGGUGCCGUCCUCGGAGGACACUAGGCUCGUCUGAUGCUCCAGCAGAUCCAAGUCCCCACACGACGAGAAAAUCACCUACGAACCAAGAGUCCUCUGCUGAGAAACCGCUCUCCCUUCUUUGUUUGUGCUACAAAAAGUGUAACUGGCUCCUCAGAGCACUGUAUUUCCAGUACACACCUAAUUCCUUAAGUGGGUAUUUUUAGAAUGCUCUUUUAUUAUUUAUGUUGGACAGGCGCCUUCAGAUUAAACUCAUUGCGAAGAUGCAAGUUCACACACUAGGAAACUGUUCAAGAGUCAUAUCGCUGCUUCUUAAUGAAAAGUGUAUCCUACAUGCAUGUGUGCGUGUGUGUGUGUGUGUGUGUGUGACAACUGAGUGUAUGUUCACAGUCUACAGCAGCCAAGAAAUUUUCCAAUGUUUCUGCACUUACCGAGGUUAGAAACUGUACAGAUUCACACACACAUACACAUCACAUACAUAUUAUCAUGAAAGAUUUUAAGGACUACUGAUGCCAAGAUACGUUAUUGUAGAACGAACUGUGAGAGCAAAGUAUUUAACCCUCUUAGAGAUAAACCAGGAACCGGUAGGGAAAAAGAAACAUAAGUCAGGAAGUACAGUACUUGUUCAUCUGAAUUACAGAGGAGAAGCUGAGCAGCCGUGCUCAUAAUUCAUACUUAAAAGUCCUGUCCUGUUGAUUCAAACAAAACUUUUUUUCUAUUAAAAUUUUAGUAUGUUAAUAUUUUUAAAUUAACUUCCAUGUUUAGGUUCAUUUCACUUGGGCCAUUUUAAUAUAACUCUGUAGAAAUAACAGACUUCAAAUAAAUCUAAAUGUUUUGCUCUCCAGCCUCUCCUGAACAUAGACUGAUUUUAAAUAAAAUGAAUAGUAUUCUUUAUUUAACCGUUAUAACGUCUUGGUCUUCCUUGAAAGUAAGCAAGUCAUUUAUAAGAAUUUAAAUAUCACAAAUAUCUCUCAAAAGGAAAAAAAAGAGGGGGGGGAAUGGAUUUUAUUUUUUUAAAUUAUUUUUUAAAAAUGUCUCUCUUUCUUUUUGGCUGUGUUGGGUCUUUGUUGCUGAGCGUGGGCUUUUUCUCUAGUUGCGGCGAGCGGGGGCUACUCUUCGUUGUGGUGCGCGGGCUUCUCAUUGCAGUGGCUUCUCUUGUUGCGGAGCUCGGGCUCUAGGCACGCGGGCUUCAGUAGUUGUGGCGCACGGGCUUAGCUGCUCUGCGGCAUGUGGGAUCUUCCCGGACCAGGGCUUGAACCCGUGUCCUCUGCAUUGGCGGGUGGAUUCUCAACCACUGCGCCACCAGGGAAGCCCGGGAGUGGAUUUUAAACAUUCUUUUUUUUCUCCAGUGUUUAAGAGCAGUCAUAGGAUUUGCACUAGGUUUUCAUAAAAUGGUACAAGACACACAGUCUGUACAGGGAUUGCAAAUGGGUCUAUGAGAUAAAUAGCACUGAGGACCAGCCAACUAGUCAGUGAGAGAUGAGAGACUAGAAUUCUGAUUCCCUCAGCGGAGGCCUCCCUUUCCUUGUUAGUGCCACUUUUCUUAUUUGCAACAUAGUAAA